GAGAGAGGCCCUUAAGCAAGGAAAACUGCUAAUUUUCCCGACCUUGGUUAAAUCCCAAGGCUCCCUC
This 67-nucleotide transfer RNA is filed under the name Assurger anzac (razorback scabbardfish). RNAcentral's name for it is "tRNA-Ser". The record is from RNAcentral. Lineage: Eukaryota; Metazoa; Chordata; Actinopteri; Scombriformes; Trichiuridae.